AGGGUCUCAUCACUUCGUUGCAAUCCUCCCGACCUGGCGUCUCAAAGUUUUGGGAUGAUGGAUGGGCUCGAGCCACACUGUGCCUGGCCUCCGGGGACUGAUUCGCGACCACAACUGACGUGCUAAUAUUUUCUUCUUUUUUCUCAUUCUUCUUUUUGAGACGGAGCCUCGCUCUGUGCCAGGCGAAGGGAGGCGCAUCGCUUCGGAAGCGGCAGCCGAGCCGCCUUCUAGAGCCCCAUUCAAAGGCAGACAGCCCUGUUUCCCUUCUGGAGUCGGAGGUGAUGGCUCCCAUGGCCUCGGGCUCCACUCCAUUCGGCAGGCGCCGCCCCACAAGAAGGCUGGCUGUGGCUGUGGCUGGGGGUGGGGGGACGCGGUGGGGCUGGCUGGAAGAGUCUCCUUUUCUGCUUCGUCCUUCGGUAGCUGGAAUGACGGGCGCGCACCACCACGCCCCCCGGCUACUUUUCCUAUUUUCAGGAGGGAUGGGGUUUCGCCAUGUUGGUCAGGCUGGCCUCGAACUCCUGACCUCAAGUGAUCCGCCCUCUUGGGCCUCCCAAAGUGCUGGGAUGACGGGCGUGAGCCGCCAGCACUUCACCCUUGAAGAGCAAGCGCGCGGGCGGGGAGCGGGGCGUGGGCCGCCGGGCCUCGGCCUGCUUUUUCUUUUGUUACUAGAGAAGAAAAUGGCGUGGGCCCUCUCGCUAUCACGGUAUACACUCUGCUAUUCUGUGGGAUACGCCGUGCGUGUGAGUGCGUGCGUGGGUACGUCCGUGCGUGCGUGCGUGCGUGCGUGCGUACGUACCUACGCACGUACGUAGGUGCGUGUGUUUCUGCGCGUAUUGCCGAGUCACGGUGCUUCCUUCCCCCUCAGGGUCUCCGCUCCAUUAGUUGUGGGGGAAAUGCCUGGGAGGGUGCCGGGCUGACACUUGCAUAUGUUGUCAUCGGGCGUCACCUAGCGGUCACCGGUUCUCCGAAGUCUAGGCGGCGUGACGGGACGCUCUGGCCGCCCGCCCACCGUCAGGAGAGAUUGUGGCUUCUCU
Molecule: long non-coding RNA, 1034 nt
Filed under: Callithrix jacchus (white-tufted-ear marmoset)
Lineage: Eukaryota; Metazoa; Chordata; Mammalia; Primates; Cebidae
Description: lncRNA (ENSCJAG00000086503.1)
Source: RNAcentral